RNAcentral lists this ribosomal RNA (245 nucleotides) under uncultured bacterium. RNAcentral describes it as "partial 16S ribosomal RNA". It matches the Rfam family "Bacterial small subunit ribosomal RNA", at positions 524 to 768 of the family's 1533-position model. The record is from RNAcentral.
GACGGAGGGUGCAAGCGUUGUUCGGAAUCACUGGGCGUAAAGCGCGUGUAGGCGGUUUGGUAAGUCGAGUGUGAAAGCCCAAGGCUUAACUUUGGAAGUGCACUCGAAACUGUCAGGCUUGAGUACGGGAGAGGGAAGUGGAAUUCCUGGUGUAGAGGUGAAAUUCGUAGAUAUCAGGAGGAACACCGGUGGCGAAGGCGGCUUCCUGGACCGAUACUGACGCUGAGACGCGAAAGCGUGGGGAG